GGGAGACGGGCACAGGAAGUCAAUACAAGACAACUACUUGCAGAUGUUAAAAAGAUUCCAAGUAGCAAGGAACUCAGAAUCUGAAAAUGGAUAAUCUUUACUCUAUGUCCUCUGAAGAACCAGAGAGAUAACAACGUCAAGGAUCAAACACCAACGUUUGAGAAAACAGAGAGAGAAAGAAAACUACCCAAUACCUCAAAAAGGACUUUGCUUUACCUAUGGAGACAGACCAAGACAGAUAGGCACACCCAAGCAAGAAAAUUUAUU
Molecule: unclassified non-coding RNA, 267 nt
Filed under: Hevea brasiliensis (rubber tree)
Lineage: Eukaryota; Viridiplantae; Streptophyta; Magnoliopsida; Malpighiales; Euphorbiaceae
Source: RNAcentral